AGGAACCUUUGUCCCAGUGAGAGAGGCUGAGGAGUACGUACCAAGGGACAGUUUGUGAGACUCUGGUAGGUCCGUGACUGAGGGCACCCUUGUGGGAUGCUGAGUGUAGCCAUCAGGAAGCUGGGUCCCAGCCAACUCAGCCUGGGCUCUGCCGUUCUCCAGUGGUCAGAUAAGAAAGAGCGGUGUGGUCCUCUAAGGGAGUGAGCGAGGACUGCAGCUGCUUUGAGCCCUGGCCAGAGCCUCCAAUCAACCUUUGGUUCUGAUAAAGACAAGAAACCCAAGCCCCUCCCUCCCCACUGCUGAUAUAACAGCAUGAAAUUAAACCUAUUCCAGUCUGUGACAUCUGAUCCCUUUGACAUGACAUAGUACAACCUGUAGAGCCAGAGGUGGGGGCCAGGAAGCCCUGUUCUAGUCUCUCUGCACAACCUUGAGCCAUCUCAUCAUCUGCACAUCUGCCUGAACCUCAGUCUCCCACUCUGGACGUUGUCGGGGUGAUGGAGCAAGCAUUCAGUUAUUCUCUGCUGGAUUCUGAUGUGGUCUAAAGUCCACACUUUGUUGUGAAACACCGCAAUCUGUGAUGUACAGAACCUAUUACUGCGGCCACCCAGGAAUGCUGGGGGCAGGCCUUUUGAGAAGGUGAAUCAGCGUGUGUUAGCUCAGGGCAGAGGGCCUGGCGGUGAGACGUGAGAACAGCCAAUGUCAUGGCGGUGGGGGAGUGGACGUGAGCCAUCUGGGGCCCAGCAAACAGCAUGUUGAAAAAAACGAGGAACUCAAAGGCAGAUGAGCCUACCACGCUGGGAACAGUUGGGAGUACAUUGCUCAAGCCCCGGCCAGUUUUAUGUCACUGCUGGUGUGAAGCAGUGAACAGUGACCCAGCAUGCAUCCAGGUGGCGGGACAGAGUCAGACUCUCCAGGGCAGAGAGACUCUAAAACUGACGGCCAGGUCUUGCUCAGACUACGGGCCUGAGGGAAGAUCCAAGACUGAAACAGGGCUUGGAAUGGAGGGGGUGGAGUUGAGGAGAUCACAGAGGACCUAGGAGUGUGUGUAUCGGAGAGAGAUAGGAAACCACUGACCGUUCAGCACACAUUCAGAAUUACUGCCUGUCCCAGGGAGGGACCCACAGCUCCGGCGCUCCGUUCAGCAUCUGGAAGAGCAUAGCUCGCUGUGAGCGGCCGCCCCAGAAGACUGUAUCCCACCCAGCCAGCUCUCCUGCCUGCUUGCCUCUGCCCCACACCAGGACACUUCAUACUGUCAGAACCACUGGGUGUGUGAGCUUGUGAGAGGGUGUGUGGGCACACAUGUCCCUGUGUGGGGUGUGGAGGUCAGAGGGCAACUUGGAGGAAUUGGUUCUCUCCUUCCACCACUGGGGCCCAGGAAUCAAGCCGAGGUUCCCAGACGUGGUAGCAGCCUCCCUUACCUGUUAAACCAGUGCUUCCCAGACUUCCUAAUGCUGUGACCUCAUGCUGUGCUGACCCCCGCCCAUGACAUUAUCUCUGUUGGUAUUUUAUAACUGUAAUUUUGCUACUAUUAUGAAUCACAAUGUAAAUGUCUGUUUUCUGAUGGUC
RNAcentral lists this long non-coding RNA (1566 nucleotides) under Mus musculus (house mouse). RNAcentral describes it as "predicted gene, 19696". Lineage: Eukaryota; Metazoa; Chordata; Mammalia; Rodentia; Muridae. The record is from RNAcentral.